RNAcentral lists this ribosomal RNA (392 nucleotides) under uncultured Clostridium sp. RNAcentral's name for it is "bacterial SSU rRNA". It matches the Rfam family "Bacterial small subunit ribosomal RNA", at positions 144 to 554 of the family's 1533-position model. Lineage: Bacteria; Bacillati; Bacillota; Clostridia; Eubacteriales; Clostridiaceae. The record is from RNAcentral.
UAACAGUUGGAAACGACUGCUAAUACCGCAUAAGCGCACAGUGCUGCAUAGCACAGUGUGAAAAACUCCGGUGGUAUGAGAUGGACCCUCGUCUGAUUAGGUAGUUGGUGAGGUAACGGCCCACCAAGCCGACGAUCAGUAGCCGACCUGAGAGGGUGACCGGCCACAUUGGGACUGUGACAUGGCCCAAACUCCUACGGGAGGCAGCAGUGGGGAAUAUUGGACAAUGGGGGAAACCCUGAUCCAGCGACGCCGCGUGAGUGAAGAAGUAUUUCGGUAUGUAAAGCUCUAUCAGCAGGGAAGAAAAUGACGGUACCUGACUAAGAAGCCCCGGCUAACUACGUGCCAGCAGCCGCGGUAAUACGUAGGGGGCAAGCGUUAUCCGGAUUUAC